Canis lupus familiaris (dog) is the source of this 105-nucleotide non-coding RNA. Lineage: Eukaryota; Metazoa; Chordata; Mammalia; Carnivora; Canidae. The record is from Rfam.
AGGAGGAAGAGCCCCAGUGGCGGGGCCAGCUCUGGAAACCUGGAUUCAGCCCCCGCAGGAACUCCGGAGCUCUCCGUCUGCAGGGCCUGGAGGCUCCGGGGCGGG